Molecule: non-coding RNA, 115 nt
Filed under: Palpitomonas bilix
Lineage: Eukaryota
Source: RNAcentral
CCAGCGCACACACAAGAAAGUUAGAUUGAUUCCUUCCAUUCCUUUCGUUCUUUUUUUGUCUUUUUUGUCUUCUUACUUGCAGCAAAGUAAAUUUAAAUAAAUGGAGUUGAAGUGC